AUGCAAGUCGAACGCGAAAGUCCCGCAAGGGAUCAGUAGAGUGGCAAACGGGUGAGUAACGCGUGGGUGACCUGCCUUCGAGCGGGGGAUAACGUUUCGAAAGGGACGCUAAUACCGCAUGACAUCCUGCCUUUGAAGAGGUGGAGAUCAAAGCUGGGGAUCGCAAGACCUAGCACUUGAAGAGGGGCCCGCGUCUGAUUAGCUAGUUGGUGAGGUAACGGCUCACCAAGGCAUCGAUCAGUAUCCGGCCUGAGAGGGCGGACGGACACACUGGGACUGAGACACGGCCCAGACUCCUACGGGAGGCAGCAGUGGGGAAUUGUUCGCAAUGGGCGCAAGCCUGACGACGCAACGCCGCGUGGAGGAUGAAGACCUUCGGGUCGUAAACUCCUUUCGAUCGAGACGAACGGCUUCCGGGUGAACAAUCCGGGAGAGUGACGGUACCGAGAGAAGAAGCCCCGGCUAACUCCGUGCCAGCAGCCGCGGUAAUACGGGGGGGGCAAGCGUUGUUCGGAAUUACUGGGCGUAAAGGGCUCGUAGGCGGCCAACUAAGUCAGACGUGAAAUCCCUCGGCUUA
This 577-nucleotide ribosomal RNA is filed under the name uncultured soil bacterium. RNAcentral's name for it is "bacterial SSU rRNA". It matches the Rfam family "Bacterial small subunit ribosomal RNA", at positions 55 to 611 of the family's 1533-position model. The record is from RNAcentral.